AGUGAACGCUGGCGGUAGGCCUAACACAUGCAAGUCGAACGGCAGCACAGUAAGAGCUUGCUCUUACGGGUGGCGAGUGGCGGACGGGUGAGGAAUACAUCGGAAUCUACUUUUUCGUGGGGGUUAACGUAGGGAAACUUACGCUAAUACCGCAUACGACCUACGGGGGAAAGCAGGGGAUCUUCGGACCUUGCGCGAUUGAAUGAGCCGAUGUCGGAUUAGCUAGUUGGCGGGGUAAAGGCCCACCAAGGCGACGAUCCGUAGCUGGUCUGAGAGGAUGAUCAGCCACACUGGAACUGGGACACGGUCCAGACUCCUACGGGAGGCAGCAGUGGGGAAUAUUGGACAAUGGGCGCAAGCCUGAUCCAGCCAUACCGCGUGGGUGAAGAAGGCCUUCGGGUUGUAAAGCCCUUUUGUUGGGAAAGAAAAGCAGCAGGUUAAUACCCCGCUGUUCUGACGGUACCCAAAGAAUAAGCACCGGCUAACUUCGUG
This 492-nucleotide ribosomal RNA is filed under the name uncultured bacterium. RNAcentral's name for it is "partial 16S ribosomal RNA". It matches the Rfam family "Bacterial small subunit ribosomal RNA", at positions 29 to 507 of the family's 1533-position model. The record is from RNAcentral.